UACGGAAGGCAGCAGUGGGGAAUAUUGCACAAUGGGCGCAAGCCUGAUGCAGCCAUGCCGCGUGUAUGAAGAAGGCCUUCGGGUUGUAAAGUACUUUCAGUCGUGAGGAAGGUGUUAAGGUUAAUAACCUUAGCAAUUGACGUUAGCGACAGAAGAAGCACCGGCUAACUCCGUGCCAGCAGCCGCGGUAAUACGGAGGGUGCGAGCGUUAAUCGGAAUUACUGGGCGUAAAGGGCACGCAGGCGGUUAAUUAAGUUGGAUGUGAAAUCCCCGGGCUUAAACCUGGGAAUGGCAUUCAAGACUGGUUAGCUAGAGUCUUGUAGAGGGGGUAGAAUUCCAUGUGUAGCGGUGAAAUGCGUAGAGAUGUGGAGGAAUACCGGUGGCGAAGGCGGCCCCUGGACAAAGGACUGACGCUCAUGUGCGAAAGCGUGGGGAGCAAACAGGGAUUAGAUACC
Molecule: ribosomal RNA, 455 nt
Filed under: uncultured bacterium
Lineage: Bacteria
Description: bacterial SSU rRNA
Rfam family: Bacterial small subunit ribosomal RNA
Source: RNAcentral